AGAGCGAACGCUGGCGGCAGGCUUAACACAUGCAAGUCGAGCGGGCGUAGCAAUACGUCAGCGGCAGACGGGUGAGUAACGCGUGGGAACAUACCUUUUGGUUCGGAACAACACAGGGAAACUUGUGCUAAUACCGGAUAAGCCCUUACGGGGAAAGAUUUAUCGCCGAAAGAUUGGCCCGCGUCUGAUUAGCUAGUUGGUGAGGUAACGGCUCACCAAGGCGACGAUCAGUAGCUGGUCUGAGAGGAUGAUCAGCCACAUUGGGACUGAGACACGGCCCAAACUCCUACGGGAGGCAGCAGUGGGAAUAUUGGACAAUGGGCGCAAGCCUGAUCCAGCCAUGCCGCGUGAGUGAUGAAGGCCCUAGGGUUGUAAAGCUCUUUUGGCGGGACGAUGAUGACGGUACCCGCAGAAUAAGCCCGGCUAACUUCGUGCCAGCAGCCGC
RNAcentral lists this ribosomal RNA (445 nucleotides) under uncultured bacterium. RNAcentral describes it as "SSU rRNA". It matches the Rfam family "Bacterial small subunit ribosomal RNA", at positions 26 to 518 of the family's 1533-position model. The record is from RNAcentral.